UUGAUUGUGGUAUAUCCUGA
Molecule: small nuclear RNA, 20 nt
Filed under: Arabidopsis thaliana (thale cress)
Lineage: Eukaryota; Viridiplantae; Streptophyta; Magnoliopsida; Brassicales; Brassicaceae
Description: snRNA_16255
Source: RNAcentral